Molecule: ribosomal RNA, 425 nt
Filed under: uncultured bacterium
Lineage: Bacteria
Description: bacterial SSU rRNA
Rfam family: Bacterial small subunit ribosomal RNA
Source: RNAcentral
GUGGGGAAUAUUGCACAAUGGGGGAAACCCUGAUGCAGCGACGCCGCGUGAGCGAUGAAAUAUUUCGGUAUGUAAAGCUCUAUCAGCAGGGAAGAUAAUGACGGUACCUGACUAAGAAGCACCGGCUAAAUACGUGCCAGCAGCCGCGGUAAUACGUAUGGUGCAAGCGUUAUCCGGAUUUACUGGGUGUAAAGGGUGCGUAGGUGGUUGCGCAAGUCAGAAGUGAAAACUAUGGGCUCAACCCAUAGACUGCUUUUGAAACUGCGUAACUAGAGUGCAGGAGAGGAAAGUGGAAUUCCUAGUGUAGCGGUGAAAUGCGUAGAUAUUAGGAGGAACACCAGUGGCGAAGGCGGCUUUCUGGACUGCAACUGACACUGAGGCACGAAAGCGUGGGGAGCAAACAGGAUUAGAAACCCUAGUAGUCC